UGGGCGCAGCCUGAUCCAGCAACGCCGCGUGCGUGAGAAGGCCUUCGGGUUGUAAACUGCUUUUAUUUGGGACGAA
RNAcentral lists this ribosomal RNA (76 nucleotides) under uncultured bacterium. RNAcentral describes it as "partial 16S ribosomal RNA". The record is from RNAcentral.